RNAcentral lists this ribosomal RNA (433 nucleotides) under uncultured bacterium. RNAcentral describes it as "partial 16S ribosomal RNA". It matches the Rfam family "Bacterial small subunit ribosomal RNA", at positions 29 to 507 of the family's 1533-position model. The record is from RNAcentral.
AACGAACGCUGGCGGCAUGCCUAACACAUGCAAGUCGAACGAACCCUUCGGGGUUAGUGGCGCACGGGUGCGUAACGCGUGGGAAUCUGCCCUUUGCUUCGGAAUAACUCAGGGAAACUUGUGCUAAUACCGGAUGAUGUCUUCUGACCAAAGGUUUAUCGGCAAGGGAUGAGCCCGCGUAGGAUUAGGUAGUUGGUGGGGUAAAGGCCUACCAAGCCGACGAUCCUUAGCUGGUCUGAGAGGAUGAUCAGCCACACUGGGACUGAGACACGGCCCAGACUCCUACGGGAGGGGGCAGUGGGGAAUAUUGGAAAAUGGGCGGAAGCCAGAUCAAGCAAUGCCGCGUGAGAGAGGAAGGCGGUCGGGUAGUAAAGCACUUUUACAAGGGAUGAUAAUGACAGUACCUGGAGAAUAAGCACCGGCUAACUCCGUG